RNAcentral lists this ribosomal RNA (301 nucleotides) under uncultured bacterium. RNAcentral's name for it is "partial 16S ribosomal RNA". It matches the Rfam family "Bacterial small subunit ribosomal RNA", at positions 509 to 807 of the family's 1533-position model. The record is from RNAcentral.
CAGCCGCCGCGGGAAUACGUAGGGUGCAAGCGUUAAUCGGAAUUACUGGGCGUAAGGCGUGCGCAGGCGGUUAUUCAAGACAGAUGUGAAAUCCCCGGGCUCAACCUGGGAACUGCAUUUGUGACUGGAUGACUAGAGUACGGCAGAGGGGGAUGGAAUUCCGCGUGUAGCAGUGAAAUGCGUAGAUAUGCGGAGGAACACCGAUGGCGAAGGCAAUCCCCUGGGCCUGUACUGACGCUCAUGCACGAAAGCGUGGGGAGCAAACAGGAUUAGAUACCCGGGUAGUCCCUGUCUCUUAUAC